This 531-nucleotide ribosomal RNA is filed under the name Aureobasidium pullulans. RNAcentral's name for it is "partial large subunit ribosomal RNA". It matches the Rfam family "Eukaryotic large subunit ribosomal RNA", at positions 58 to 597 of the family's 3401-position model. Lineage: Eukaryota; Fungi; Ascomycota; Dothideomycetes; Dothideales; Saccotheciaceae. The record is from RNAcentral.
AAAGAAACCAACAGGGAUUGCCCUAGUAACGGCGAGUGAAGCGGCAACAGCUCAAAUUUGAAAGCUAGCCUUCGGGUUCGCAUUGUAAUUUGUAGAGGAUGAUUUGGGGAAGCCGCCUGUCUAAGUUCCUUGGAACAGGACGUCAUAGAGGGUGAGAAUCCCGUAUGUGACAGGAAAUGGCACCCUAUGUAAAUCUCCUUCGACGAGUCGAGUUGUUUGGGAAUGCAGCUCUAAAUGGGAGGUAAAUUUCUUCUAAAGCUAAAUAUUGGCGAGAGACCGAUAGCGCACAAGUAGAGUGAUCGAAAGAUGAAAAGCACUUUGGAAAGAGAGUUAAAAAGCACGUGAAAUUGUUGAAAGGGAAGCGCUUGCAAUCAGACUUGUUUAAACUGUUCGGCCGGUCUUCUGACCGGUUUACUCAGUUUGGACAGGCCAGCAUCAGUUUCGGCGGCCGGAUAAAGGCUCUGGGAAUGUGGCCUCCACUUCGGUGGAGGUGUUAUAGCCCAGGGUGUAAUACGGCCAGCCGGGACUGAG